RNAcentral lists this ribosomal RNA (254 nucleotides) under uncultured bacterium. RNAcentral describes it as "partial 16S ribosomal RNA". It matches the Rfam family "Bacterial small subunit ribosomal RNA", at positions 524 to 777 of the family's 1533-position model. The record is from RNAcentral.
UACAGAGGGUGCAAGCGUUGUUCGGAAUUAUUGGGCGUAAAGGGCGCGUAGGCGGCGUGGUAAGUCACUUGUGAAAUCUCUGAGCUUAACUCAGAACGGCCAAGUGAUACUGCUGUGCUAGAGUGCAGAAGGGGCAAUCGGAAUUCUUGGUGUAGCGGUGAAAUGCGUAGAUAUCAAGAGGAACACCUGAGGUGAAGACGGGUUGCUGGGCUGACACUGACGCUGAUGCGCGAAAGCCAGGGGAGCAAAGCGGG